GGCGAACGGGUGCGUAAUGCAUGGGAAUCUGCCUAGUAGUGGGGAACAACCCGGCGAAAGCCGGGCUAAUGCCGCAUACGACCUACGGGUGAAAGCGGGGGAUCGCAAGACCUCGCGCUAUUAGAUGAGCCCAUGUCGGAUUAGCUAGUUGGUAGGGUAACGGCCUACCAAGGCGACGAUCCGUAGCUGGUCUGAGAGGACGGCCAGCCACACUGGGACUGAGACACGGCCCAGACUCCUACGGGAGGCAGCAGUGGGGAAUUUUGGACAAUGGGGGCAACCCUGAUCCAGCGACGCCGCGUGUGUGAAGAAGGCCUGCGGGUUGUAAAGCACUUUCGUUGGGAACGAAAUAUGCCGACCUAAUACGUCGGUAGGCUGACGUUACCCAAAUAAGAAGCACCGGCUAACUCUGUGCCAGCAGCCGCGGUAAUACAGAGGGUGCGAGCGUUAAUCGGAAUUACUGGGCGUAAAGCGCACGUAGGCGGCUAUGUAAGUCAGAUGUGAAAUCCCCGGGCUCAACCUGGGAACUGCAUUUGAGACUGCAUAGCUAGAGUAUGG
Molecule: ribosomal RNA, 558 nt
Filed under: uncultured beta proteobacterium
Lineage: Bacteria; Pseudomonadati; Pseudomonadota; Betaproteobacteria
Description: bacterial SSU rRNA
Rfam family: Bacterial small subunit ribosomal RNA
Source: RNAcentral